UUGUAAACCUCUUUUGUCAAGGAAGAAGCCCUUCGGGGUGACGGUACUUGGAGAAAAAGCACCGGCUAACUACGUGCCAGCAGCCGCGGUAAUACGUAGGGUGCGAGCGUUGUCCGGAAUUAUUGGGCGUAAAGAGCUCGUAGGCGGUUUGUCGCGUCUGCUGUGAAAUCCCGAGGCUCAACUUCGGGCUUGCAGUGGGUACGGGCAGACUAGAGUGCGGUAGGGGAGAUUGGAAUUCCUGGUGUAGCGGUGGAAUGCGCAGAUAUCAGGAGGAACACCGAUGGCGAAGGCAGAUCUCUGGGCCGCUACUGACGCUGAGGAGCGAAAGGGUGGGGAGCAAACAGGCUUAGAUACCCUGGUAGUCCACCCCGUAAACGUUGGGAACUAGAUGUGGGGGCCUUUCCACGGUCUCCGUGUCGCAGCUAACGCAUUAAGUUCCCCGCCUGGGGAGUACGGCCGCAAGGCUAAAACUCAAAGGAAUUGACGGGGGCCCGCACAAGCGGCGGAGCAUGCGGAUUAAUUCGAUGCAACGCGAAGAACCUUACCAAGGCUUGACAUAUACGGGAACGCCCUAGAAAUAGGGUUCUCUUUGGACACUCGUAUACAGGUGGUGCAUGGUU
RNAcentral lists this ribosomal RNA (620 nucleotides) under uncultured Microbacterium sp. Its description in RNAcentral is "bacterial SSU rRNA". It matches the Rfam family "Bacterial small subunit ribosomal RNA", at positions 423 to 1050 of the family's 1533-position model. Lineage: Bacteria; Bacillati; Actinomycetota; Actinomycetes; Micrococcales; Microbacteriaceae. The record is from RNAcentral.